GACGAACGCUGGCGGCGUGCUUAACACAUGCAAGUCGAACGGAAAGGCCCUGCUUUUGUGGGGUGCUCGAGUGGCGAACGGGUGAGUAACACGUGAGUAACCUGCCCUUGACUUUGGGAUAACUUCAGGAAACUGGGGCUCAUACCGGAUAGGAUCUCCUGCUGCAUGGUGGGGGUUGGAAAGUUUCGGCGGUUGGGGAUGGACUCGCGGCUUAUCAGCUUGUUGGUGGGGUAGUGGCUUACCAAGGCUUUGACGGGUAGCCGGCCUGAGAGGGUGACCGGCCACAUUGGGACUGAGAUACGGCCCAGACUCGUACGGGAGGCAGCAGUGGGGAAUAUUGCACAAUGGGCGGAAGCCUGAUGCAGCAACGCCGCGUGCGGGAUGACGGCCUUCGGGUUGUAAACCGAUUUCGCCUGUGACGAAGCGUGAGUGACGGUAAUGGGUAAAGAAGCACCGGCUAACUACGUG
RNAcentral lists this ribosomal RNA (468 nucleotides) under uncultured bacterium. RNAcentral's name for it is "partial 16S ribosomal RNA". It matches the Rfam family "Bacterial small subunit ribosomal RNA", at positions 28 to 507 of the family's 1533-position model. The record is from RNAcentral.